This is a long non-coding RNA of Dendroctonus ponderosae (mountain pine beetle), 1053 nucleotides long. RefSeq lists it as uncharacterized. The transcript is spliced from 2 exons. The record is from RefSeq and is a predicted model, not a curated record. NCBI's taxonomy places the organism in Eukaryota, Metazoa, Arthropoda, Insecta, Coleoptera, Curculionidae.
UAUUUGGAAAAAAAUUAUGGUUCUGAAAAGAACCGAUUUGUGUUUGAUUAAGUAUGUUCCUACUUAAUACUGUUUUGGGUUUAGGUGCUUUUGCAUUGAGCCUAGUUUAUUUGAUUUCUUGGUUUGUUCUGUGAUUACAACCAUCGACAAGAGACUAUUUUGUCUGCUGUUUUAGAUUUUUCCACUCGAUUGAAUUUUUCCAAAAAUAUUUUCAGCUGCUUUCAGGUUCCCGAGUGGAGAGUCUUACCACUGAAAUUGUGGAUUGGAUGGCCAGGGGCAGUCUGGAUAAAACUGGUAUUUGAGAGCACGUGGAAACGUGGAAAAGGUUGUAAUGCACUGUCUGUAAUGCACAACAUGGCGUAACCUGUUUCGGAUAGAGUUUAUAUGAACUUUUCUUUUUAAAUGCGUCAACGAUAUAAUUUUAUUGGACAAUAUUAAUAUAAUUUCUAUAUUACUCAAAAAAAUUUAUCCGGAGCUAACAGUUCCCACCCUAUGAAAUUCAAACAAUUAAAAUACAAUCAUCCUUUACCCCUGUGCUGCUUGGCGAUAACGCCAAAGCUCUCAGAAUUUCUGAAAAGCUGCAAAGCUUAUAAUUGAUUGGUUAUUGGCAUAAACAAAUUAUUAUAUGCUAUUACACAAAUCUUGAUUUUUUAAACUAUCUAUAUGAUUGUAGAUUUAUUAGUUACUAGAAUACUGUCUUUCUAAGCAAGACAAAAUUUAAAUUUUGUCAAUAUCGGUUUAUCAGUGAUGUGAUAUCCAGGGUGUUGCUUGUCUUUAUCUAUCUUUAUCUCUGGUUACGUGCAUCACGUGUUUUUCGAAAACUUGAGAAUAUUAAAAAUCCAUAUUAAUCGAUGCGAUAAAAUAAAUAUGAGUCAAAAUAUAAAAACCGUGCUUGUGCCUCAGUGGUAUGAUGUGUCUUCAAGACGGUAAUUACGGUAUAAUUAUGGCUUAAAACCCCGCAAACAUGUAAAGGUGAUACCGCUGUUCUGGACUUGAAGCAUUGAAGGUGCUAGGGAUCACCAGAUCUCCAGAUCCAGUGAGAAAACCACACAC